UGAGCAAUCUGCCCUUCUCAUCGGAAUAAGCGUUGGAAACGACGUCUAAUGCCGAAUACGACCUCCUUUCGCAUGAUCGGAGGUGGAAAGCUCCGGCGGAGAAGGAUGAGCUCGCGGCCUAUCAGCUAGUUGGUGUCGGUAACGGCCCACCAAGGCGACGACGGGUAGCCGGCCUGAGAGGGUGACCGGCCACACUGGGACUGAGACACGGCCCAGACUCCUACGGGAGGCAGCG
This 235-nucleotide ribosomal RNA is filed under the name uncultured bacterium. RNAcentral describes it as "partial 16S ribosomal RNA". It matches the Rfam family "Bacterial small subunit ribosomal RNA", at positions 118 to 353 of the family's 1533-position model. The record is from RNAcentral.